RNAcentral lists this long non-coding RNA (1094 nucleotides) under Neodiprion lecontei (redheaded pine sawfly). RNAcentral describes it as "uncharacterized LOC124292688". The record is from RNAcentral. Lineage: Eukaryota; Metazoa; Arthropoda; Insecta; Hymenoptera; Diprionidae.
GCGCAUUGAACUCGAAAGGGCGUACAACUAUUUGGUUCUUAGCACCUGGGAGCUUCAGUUUCAAUUAAUUAUAAUCCGCACUCCGUGGUCGAAAAAAUUUGGUGUUCCAGUCAUUGCGAUGUCACAGAUCGAAAUAUCUUCGAAAGAAGAUCAAAGCGUCGCCAGUGUUUAAAAGUAUCCUUACCAUUCAUUACCUUCAGUUGAUAAUUGUUCAAACUCGAACAAUAUUUGUUUCGAGAUAUUGCUCAAGCAACACUUUCAUUCUGCAUUCUGCACUGACAAAGGCCAUAGGAGACAUCCUUUACUGACGAUAUGUUUUCGUCUCGAAAUUUUCAGUGAUCAGGCUCUUGUCAAACAUGAAAUUGUAACUUGUCUAGUUUUGGUAAACGUGGAAUACCGCUCAAUAAGGGAUAAGAGCUAUGAAGCCAUUGGAAAGCAGAAACAUGAUAUUAAGCGUAUGUCAACGGUCAUCAUAUCGAUUUUGUAACACUGUACGAGUUCAUGGUGUAGAAAUUUCACAGUUUUCAAUCUCGAUUUCAAUCUACAAGCUUUCAACUGAUCACCGUUAAUUGAUGAUGAGCUAUCGGGUUAGAGAAACAAAUAGCCUUUUUCAAAUUCAUCCACAUUAUUAUUCAUCCAGUUUCCGCAGUAUAAAUAGAAGUGAGAAUUGGAAUUCUGUCCAAAACCGGAAUACAUAAGCCCAGAUAAUCAAGAAAAAUUUAGUCAUUCUCGGACAUCUUCAAUACGUCUUGAAGAUGUCUUAUGCGCCGAUCUAGUUCAAAACAACUUCAGGACGCUGAUAUCUAAAUAAAAAUGAGGUCGUAUAUACGCGCAUGCUGUGGUAAUAUCAAGGAACAUGGCUUCCAAAAACGAGACAGGAGCUGGAUGUUAUCCUCAAUUCCGACUAAUGUCAGCAAACGAUAUGCUGCAUCCUAGUAACAAUGAUAGUUGUCAAAGUUUUUUCUCUCUUUGACACAUUCCGUUUAUUAGUUGGAAUUUAUACCACCAGUAGAUAGAUUACUCAAUGGUCAGAGCAAAACUGAUGCUAAUGACUCACCCAUCUAUAAGUUACUGCCGUACACGUAGCGCAGACU